RNAcentral lists this transfer RNA (84 nucleotides) under bacterium (Candidatus Blackallbacteria) CG17_big_fil_post_rev_8_21_14_2_50_48_46. Its description in RNAcentral is "tRNA-Tyr". It matches the Rfam family "tRNA". From Rfam's summary of the family: Transfer RNA (tRNA) molecules are approximately 80 nucleotides in length. Their secondary structure includes four short double-helical elements and three loops (D, anti-codon, and T loops). The record is from RNAcentral. Lineage: Bacteria; Candidatus Blackallbacteria.
GGACAUGUGACGCAGAGAGGAAAUGCAUCGGUCUGUAAAACCGACGGCGCUAUGCCAUCGCUGGUUCGAAUCCAGCCAUGUCCA